CCUACGGGAGGCAGCAGUGAGGAAUAUUGGUCAAUGGACGAGAGUCUGAACCAGCCAAGUAGCGUGAAGGAUGACUGCCCUAUGGGUUGUAAACUUCUUUUAUAAAGGAAUAAAACGAGGCACGUGUGCCUUUUUGCAUGUACUUUAUGAAUAAGGAUCGGCUAACUCCGUGCCAGCAGCCGCGGUAAUACGGAGGAUCCGAGCGUUAUCCGGAUUUAUUGGGUUUAAAGGGAGCGUAGAUGGGUUGUUAAGUCAGUUGUGAAAGUUUGCGGCUCAACCGUAAAAUUGCAAUUGAUACUGGCAGUCGUGAGUACAGUUGAGGUAAGCGGAAUUCGUGGUGUAGCGGUGAAAUGCUUAGAUAUCACGAAGAACCCCGAUUGCGAAGGCAGCUUACUAAACUGUGACUGACAUUGAUGCUCGAAAGUGUGGGUAUCAAACAGGAUGAGAUACCCCAGUAGUC
This 460-nucleotide ribosomal RNA is filed under the name uncultured bacterium. Its description in RNAcentral is "partial 16S ribosomal RNA". It matches the Rfam family "Bacterial small subunit ribosomal RNA", at positions 338 to 795 of the family's 1533-position model. The record is from RNAcentral.